Molecule: non-coding RNA, 101 nt
Organism: Rhodotorula diobovata
Lineage: Eukaryota; Fungi; Basidiomycota; Microbotryomycetes; Sporidiobolales; Sporidiobolaceae
Source: the annotation of a GenBank genome assembly
GCCUAUUUGGUCUAGUCGCAUGAUACCUCAUUCGGGUUUCGGCCAGCUUGCUUGUCAAGUGUGCAUUGAGGUGGUCCUCGGUUCAAUUCCGGGAAUGGGCC